Mesocricetus auratus (golden hamster) is the source of this 34-nucleotide non-coding RNA. The record is from Rfam. Lineage: Eukaryota; Metazoa; Chordata; Mammalia; Rodentia; Cricetidae.
GUGUGUCUUGCUUCAACAGUGUUUGGACUGCCUC